RNAcentral lists this ribosomal RNA (776 nucleotides) under uncultured Neocallimastigales. RNAcentral's name for it is "partial large subunit ribosomal RNA". It matches the Rfam family "Eukaryotic large subunit ribosomal RNA", at positions 24 to 649 of the family's 3401-position model. Lineage: Eukaryota; Fungi; Neocallimastigomycota; Neocallimastigomycetes; Neocallimastigales. The record is from RNAcentral.
UAUGUGAUCGUCUCUCGCAUAUCAAUAAGCGGAGGAAAAGAAACUAACAAGGAUUCCCCUAGUAACGGCGAGUGAAGCGGGAAGAGCUCAAAUUUGAAAUCUUAAAGGGUUUCCCUUUACGAAUUGUAGUUUAAAGAAGUGUUUUCUGUUGAGGUUUUGGUAAAAGUUCUUUGGAAUUAGGACAUCAUAGAGGGUGAGAAUCCCGUAUUUGACCUUUACUUUCAACUUUGUGAUACACUUUCAAAGAGUCGGAUUGUUUGGGAAUGCAGUCCAAAAUGGGUGGUAAGUUUCAUCUAAAGCUAAAUAUUGGCGAGAGACCGAUAGCGAACAAGUACCGUGAGGGAAAGAUGAAAAGAACUUUGAAAAGAGAGUUAAACAGUACGUGAAAUUGUCAAAAGGGAAGCGUUUGACACCAGUGUUGUUUUUCUGAAAAUCAAUUAAAGAACUGUUUAUGCUAAGUUGUUUAGACUUUAUCAGCUAAUCUGCUUAGUUUUGAGCUUUUCUUUAAUGCACUUUUCAGUUAACAAGUCAACAUCAAUUUCUUUUGCUGUAAAAAAGCUUGAGGAAGGUGGCUUGAGAUUCGUCUUAAGUGUUUAUAGCCUCUUGCCUAUGCAGUCGGAGAGAUUGAGGUCUGCAGCGUAGAUCCUUCGGGGCUAAAUGCAUUUGUGCUAAGUUAUAGCAUUUUAUAGACAACUUGUUGACUAUGAUUUGUCUUGUAGCUUACUCGCUUAUGUUAUUUUACCUACGCUUAGGAUGUUGAGUAGCGACAUACGCAC